GCCCUCGUAGCUCAGUUGGUAGAGCAAAUGACUCUUAAUCAUUGGGCCCGGAGUUCGAGUCUCCGCGAGGGCA
RNAcentral lists this transfer RNA (73 nucleotides) under Ruminococcus flavefaciens. Its description in RNAcentral is "tRNA-Lys". It matches the Rfam family "tRNA". Rfam says of the family: Transfer RNA (tRNA) molecules are approximately 80 nucleotides in length. Their secondary structure includes four short double-helical elements and three loops (D, anti-codon, and T loops). Lineage: Bacteria; Bacillati; Bacillota; Clostridia; Eubacteriales; Oscillospiraceae. The record is from RNAcentral. RNAcentral also lists the same sequence under 3 other names.